CGCGUAGGCGGUCUUGUAAGUCAGAUGUGAAAUCUCUCGGCUUAACCGGGAAAGUGCAUUUGAAACUAUGAGACUUGAGUAUGGGAGAGGGAAGUGGAAUUCCUGGUGUAGAGGUGAAAUUCGUAGAUAUCAGGAGGAACACCGGUGGCGAAGGCGACUUCCUGGACCAAUACUGACGCUGAGGCGCGAAGGCGUGGGGAGCAAAACA
This 208-nucleotide ribosomal RNA is filed under the name uncultured bacterium. Its description in RNAcentral is "partial 16S ribosomal RNA". It matches the Rfam family "Bacterial small subunit ribosomal RNA", at positions 568 to 775 of the family's 1533-position model. The record is from RNAcentral.